RNAcentral lists this long non-coding RNA (10239 nucleotides) under Triticum aestivum (bread wheat). RNAcentral's name for it is "long non-coding RNA (TAES_LNC011437)". The record is from RNAcentral. Lineage: Eukaryota; Viridiplantae; Streptophyta; Magnoliopsida; Poales; Poaceae.
UGGUGGAUACCAUUUGCUUGCGUGAGAUGUAUGCUAAAUUGAUGAUGCCUGAUCUUACAAAUUGGGUGUGGAUAAAUCAGGUGGGGGUAAAUGCUGAGUUUGUUUUCUUGAGGAUGGGUCGAUGCCUAGUCUAUGUGGGUAUCAAGUGCAGGAAGUUGUGUAAAGUCUAUGAGAUGACAAGCGAGGAUCGAUGGUUGGGUCGUGUCCAUCCUUGGAUGAUGAUUUGGCCUCCCACAUUCCCUGCGCUCAAGGAUGGUCCUGCAAGGUUUGUCUUUUGGCCUUUGGGUGAUGUUAUUGUAUUUUGUUUUUGUGUGGUCGCAUUAGAAGCAUACAUGUGUUGGAAAUAUGCCCUAGAGGCAAUAAUAAAUUGGUUAUUAUUAUUAUAUUUCCUUGUUCAUGAUAAUCGUUUAUUAUCCAUGCUAUAAUUGUAUUGAUAGGAAACUCAGAUACAUGUGUGGGUACAUAGACAACACCAUGUCCCUAGUAAGCCUCUAGUUGACUAGCUCGUUGAUCAACAGAUGGUUACGGUUUCCUGACCAUGGACAUUGGAUGUCGUUGAUAACAGGAUCACAUCAUUAGGAGAAUGAUGUGAUGGACAAGACCCAAUCCUAAGCCUAGCACAAAGAUCGUAGUUCGUAUGCUAAAGCUUUUCUAAUGGCAAGUAUCAUUUCCUUAGACCAUGAGAUUGUGCAACUCCCGGAUACCGUAGGAAUGCUUUGGGUGUACCAAACGUCACAACGUAACUGGGUGACUAUAAAGGUGCACUACAGGUAUCUCCGAAAGUGUCUGUUGGGUUGGCACGAAUUGAGACUAGGAUUGGUCACUCCGUGUAAACGGAGAGGUAUCUCUGGGCCCACUCGGUAGGACAUCAUCAUAAUGUGCACAAUGUGACCAAGGGGUUGAUCACGGGAUGAUGUGUUACGGAACGAGUAAAGAGACUUGUUGGUAACGAGAUUGAACAAGGUAUUGGCAUACCAACGAUCGAAUCUCGGGCAAGUACCAUACCGCUAGACAAAAGGAAUUGUAUACGAGAUCGAUUGAGUCCUUGACAUCAUGGUUCAUCCGAUGAGAUCAUCGUGGAACAUGUGGGAGCCAACAUGGGUAUCCAGAUCCCGCUGUUGGUUAUUGACCGGAGAACGUCUCGGUCAUGUCUGCAUGGUUCCCGAACCCGUAGGGUCUACACACUUAAGGUUCGAUGACGCUAGGGUUAUAAAGGAAGUUUGUAUGUGGUUACCGAAUGUUGUUCGGAGUCCCGGAUGAGAUCCCGGACGUCACGAGGAGUUCCGGAAUGGUCCGGAGGUAAAGAUUUAUAUAUGGGAAGUCCUGUUUUGGUCACCUGAAAAGUUUCGGGUUUUUCCGGUAACGUACCGGGACCACCGGAGGGUCCCGGGGGUCCACCAAGUGGGGCCACCAACCCCGGAGGGCUGCAUGGGCCAAGUGUGGGAGGGGAACAGCCCCAGGUGGGCUAGUGCGCCCCCCCCACAGGGCCCAAGGCGCAGGGAAGUGGGGGAGGGGGCAAACCCUAGGGAAGAUGGGCCCUAAGGCCCACCCUAGGUGCGCCUCCCCCCUCUCCCCUUCUAGCCGCCACCCAGAUGGGAUCUGGGGGCUGCCGCCACCCCUGGGAGGGAACCCUAGAGGGGGCGCAGCCCCCUUCCCUCCCCCUAUAAAUACUUGAGGUGUGGGGGCUGCCCAACACACGAGAACUUCUCCCUAUUGGCGCAGCCCUACCUCUCUUACUCCUCCUCUCCCGCGGUGCUUGGCGAAGCCCUGCAGGAUUGCCAUGCUCCUCCAUCACCACCACGCCAUUGUGUUGCUGCUGGACGGAGUCUUCGUCAACCUCUCCCUCUCUCCUUGCUGGAUCAAGGCGUGGGAGACGUCACCGGGCUGUACGUGUGUUGAACGCGGAGGUGUCGUCCGUUCGGCACUAGGAUCUCCGGUGAUUUGGAUCACGACGAGUAUGACUCCUUCAACCCCGUUCUCUUGAACACUUCUGCUUAGCGAUCUACAAGGGUAUGUAGAUGCACUCUCCUUCCCCUCGUUGCUGGUUUCUCCAUAGAUAGAUCUUGGUGACACGUAGGAAAAUUUUGAAUUUCUGCUACGUUCCCCAACAGUGGCAUCAUGAGCUAGGUCUAUUGCGUAGAUUCUUUGCAUGAGUAGAACACAAAGUAGUUGUGGGCGUUGAUUUUGUUCAAUAUGCUUACCGUUACUAGUCCAAUCUUGUUUCGACGGUAUUGUGGAUGAAGCGGCCGGACCGACCUUACACGUACACUUACGUGAGACAGGUUCCACCGACUGACAUGCACUUGGUGCAUAAGGUGGCUAGCGGGUGCCAGUCUCUCCCACUUUAGUCGGAACGGGUUCGAUGAAAAGGGUCCUUAAGAAGGGUAAAUAGCAAUUGGCAUAUCACAUUGUGGUUUUGCGUAGGUAAGAAACGUUCUUGCUAGAAACCCAUAGCAGCCACGUAAAACAUGCAAACAACAAUUAGAGGACGUCUAACUUGUUUUUGCAGGGUAUGCUAUGUGAUGUGAUAUGGCCAAGAAGAAUGUGAUGAAUGAUAUGUGAUGUAUGAGAUUGAUCAUGUUCUUGUAACAGGAAUCACGACUUGCAUGUCGAUGAGUAUGACAACCGGCAGGAGCCAUAGGAGUUGUCUUUAUUUAUUGUAUGACCUGCGUGUCAUUAAACAACACCAUGUGAUUACUUUAAUUUAUUGCUAACCGGUAGCCAUAGUAGUAGAAGUAAUAGUUGGCAAGACAACUUCAUGAAGACACGAUGAUGGAGAUCAUGAUGAUGGAGAUCAUGGUGUCAUGCCGGUGACGAUGAUGAUCAUGGAGCCCCGAAGAUGGAGAUCAAAAGGAGCAAAAUGAUAUUGGCCAUAUCAUGUCACUAUUUGAUUGCAUGUGAUGUUUAUCAUGUUUAUGCAUCUUAUUUGCUUAGAACGACGGUAGUAAAUAAGAUGAUCCCUCAUUAAAAUUUCAAGAAAGUGUUCCCCCUAACUGUGCACCGUUGCGAAAGUUCGUCGUUUCAAAGCACCACGUGAUGAUCGGGUGUGAUAGAUUCUUACGUUCACAUACAACAGGUGUAAGCCAGAUUUACACACGCGAAACACUUAGGUUAACUUGACGAGCCUAGCAUGUACAGACAUGGCCUCGGAACAGAAGAGAUCGAAAGGUCGAGCAUGAGUCGUAUGGUAGAUACGAUCAACAUGAAGAUGUUCACCGAUGAUGACUAGUCCGUCUCACGUGAUGAUCGGACACGGCCUAGUUGACUCGGAUCAUGUAAUCACUUAGAUGACUAGAGGGAUGUCUAUCUGAGUGGGAGUUCAUAAGAUGAACUUAAUUAUCCUGAACAUAGUCAAAAUAUCUUUGCAAAUUAUGUCGUAAGCUCGCGCUUUAGUUCCACUGUUUAGAUAUGUUCCUAGAGAAAAAAUAUAGUUGAAAGUUGACAGUAGCGAUUAUGAGGACAGUAGAAAGCUUAUGUCCUUAAUGCACCACUCAGUGUGCUGAACCCCAAACGUCGUCCGUGGAUGUUGCGAACAUCGUACAUACACGUUUUGAUAACUACGUCAUAGUUCAGUUAAACGGUUUAGAGUUGAGGCACCAAAGACGUUUUCGAAACGUUGCGGAACAUAUGAGAUGUUUCGAGGGCUGAAAUUGGGGUUUCAGGCUCGUGCCCACGUCAAGAGGUAUAAGACCUCCGACGAUUUUCUUAGCCUGCAAACUAAGGGAGAAAAGCUCAAUCGUUGAGCUUGUGCUCAGAUUGUCUGAGUGCAACAAAUCACUUGAAUCAAGUGGGAGUUGAUCAUCGAGAGAUAGUGAUGUUUCUCCAAAGUCAUUGCCACCAAGCUGCUAGAGCUUCGUGAUGAACUAUAACAUAUCAAGGAUAGAUAUGAUGAUCCUUGAGGUAUUCGCGAUGUUUGACACCACGAAAGUAGAAAUCAAGAAGGAGCAUCAAUUUUUGAUGGUUAGUGAAACCACUAGUUUCAAGAAGCGCAAGGGCAAGAAGGGGCCCUUCAUGAAACGGCAAAUCAGUUGCUGCUCCAGUGAAGAAACCCAAGGUUGAACCCAAACCCGAAACUAAGUGCUUCUGUAAUAAGGGGAACAGCCACUGGGGCAGAAUUACCCUAGAUACUUGGUAGAUAAGAAGGCUGGCAAGGUCGAUAGAAGUAUAUUGGAUAUACAUUAUGUUAAUGUGUACUUUACUAGUACUCCUAGUAGCACCAGGGUAUUAGAUACCGGUUCUGUUACUAAGUGUUAGUAACUCGAAAUAAAAGCUACGGAACAAACGGAGACUAGCUAAAGGUGAGCUGACGAUAUGUGUUGGAAGUGUUUCCAAGGUUGAUGUGAUCAAGCAUCGCACGCUCCCUCUACCAUCGAGAUUUGGUGUUUGCGUUGAGCAUAGACAUGAUUGGAUUAUGUCUAUCGCAGUACGGUUAUUCAUUUAAGGAGAAUAAUGGUUACUCUGUUUAUUUGAAUAAUACCUUCAAUGGUCUUGCACGUAAAAUGAAUGGUUUAUUGAAAUCUCGAUCGUAGUGAUACACAUUUUCAUGCCAAAAGAUAUAAGGUAGUAAUGAUAGUACCACUCACUUGUGGCACUGCCAUGUAAGUCAUAUUGGUGUAAAACGCAUGAAGAAGCUCCAUGUUGAUGGAUCUUUGGACUCACUCGUUUUUGAAAAGUUUGAGACAUGCGAACCGUGUCUAUUGGUGUAUACGCAUGAAGAAACUCCAUGCAGAUGGAUCGUUUGGACUCAUUUGAUUUUGAAUCACUUGAGACAUGCAAAUCAUACCACAUGGGCAAGAUGACUGAAAGCCUCGUUUUCAUUAAGAUGGAACGAGAUAGCAACUUGUUGGAAGUAACACAUUUUGAUGUGUGCAGUCCAAUGAGUGCUGAGGCAUGCAGUGAAUAUCGUUAUGUUCUUACUUCACAAAUGAUUUAAGUAGAUACUGAGUAUAUUUACUUGAUGAAACACAAGUCUGAAUUAUUGAAUGGUUCAUGUAAUUUUAGAGUGAAGUUGAAGAUCUUCGUGACAAGAGGAUAAAAUGUCUAUGAUAUGAUCAUAGAGAUGAGUAUCUGAGUUACAAGCUUUGGCACGCAAUUAAGACAUUGUGGAAAUUGUUUCACAAUUAAUACCGCCUGGAACACCAUAGUGUGAUGGUGUGUCCGAACAUCAUAGUUGCACCCUAUUGGAUAUGGUGCGUACCAUGAUAUCUCUUAUCGAAUUACCACUAUCGUUCAUGGGUUAGGCAUUAGAGACAACCACACUCACUUUAAAUAGGGCACCAUGUAAUUCCGUUGAGAUGACACCGUAUGAACUAUGGUUUAGAGAAACCUAAGCUGUCAUUUCUUAAAAGUUUGGGGCUGCGACGCUUAUGUGAAAAAGUUUCAGGUUGAUAAGCUCGAACCCAAAGCGGAUAAAACGCAUCUUCAUAGGACCCCAAAACAGUUGGGUAUACCUCCUAAUUCAGAUCCGAAAGCAAUAGGGAUUGUUUCUUGAAUCGGGUCCUUUCUUGAGGAAAGGUUUCUCUCGAAAGAAUUGAGUGGGAGGAUGGUGGAGACUUGAUGAGGUUAUUGAACCGUCACUUCAACAAGUGUGUAGCAGGGCACAUGAAGUUGUUCCUGUGGCACCUACACCAAUUGAAGUGGAAGCUUAUGAUAGUGAUCAUGAAGCUUCGGAUCAAGUCACUGCCGAACCUCGUAGGACGACAAGGACGCGUACUGCUUCAGAGUGGUACGGUGAUCCUGUCUUGAAGGUCAUGUUGCUAGACAACAAUGAACCUACAAGCUAUGGAGAAGCGAUGGUGGGCCCAAAUUCCGACAAAUGGUUAGAAGCCAUGAAAUCCGAGAUAGGAUCCAUGUAUCAGAACAAAAGCAUGGACUUUGGUGGACUUGCCCGAUGAUCGGCAAGCCAUUGAGAUAAAUGGAUCUUUAAGAAGAAGACGGACGUGGACGGUAAUGUCACCGUCUAUGAAGCUCGACUUGUGGCGAAGAGUUUUUCACAAGUUCAAGGAGUUGACUACGAUGAGAUUUUCUCAUCCGUAGCGAUGAUUAAGUCCGUUGGAAUCAUGUUAGCAUUAGCUGCAUUUAUGAAAUCUGGCAGAUGGAUGUCAAGACGAGUUUCCUUACCAGUUUUCGUAAGGAAAGAUUGUAUGUGAUACAAUCAGAAAAGUUUUGUCGAUCCUAAGGAUGCUAAAAGGCAUGCUAGCUCCAGCGAUCCUUCUAAGGACUAGAGUAAGCAUCUCGGAGUUGGAAUGUGCGCUUUGAUGAGAUGAUCAAAGAUUUUGGGUUUAUACAAAGUUCAUGAGAAACUUGUAUUUCCAAAGAAGUGAGUGGGAGCAUUAUAGAAUUUCUGAUGAGUAUAUGUUGUUGACAUAUUGUUGAUCGGAAAUGAUGUAGAAUUUUUGGAAAGCAUAUAGGGUUAUUUGAAAAGUGUUUUUCAAUGGAAGACCUGGAUUGAGCUACUUGAACAUUGAGCAUCAAGAUCUAUGAGGAUAGAUCAAAAAUGCUUAAUAGUACUUUCAAAUGAGCACAUACCUUGACAUGAUCUUGAAGGUGUUCAAGAUGGAUCAGUCAAAGAAGGAGUUCUUGCCUGAGUUAUAAGGUAUGAAGUUAAGAGUUAAAGCUCGACCACGGCAGAAGAGAGACAAAGGACGAAGGUCGUCCCCUAUGCUUCAAACAUAGGGUCUAUAGUAUGCUAUGCUGUGUACCGCACCGAAGUGUGCCUUGCCAUGAGUCAGUCAAGGGGUACAAGAAUGAUCCAGAAAUGGGGAUCAUUGGACAGCCGUCAAAAAUUGUCCUUGGAGUAAAUAAGGACAUGUUUCUCGAUUAUGGAGGUGAUAAAGAGUUCGGCGUAAAGGGUUACAUUGAUGCAAGCUUUAACACCUAUCCGAAUGACUCUGAGUAGCAAACCGGAUACGUAUAGUGGAGCAACCAUUUGGAAUAGUUCCAAGUGGAGCGUGGAAGCAGCAUUUACAAUAUGACAUAGAGAAUUGCAAAGUACGUACAGGUCUGAAUGUUGCAGACCCGUUGACUAAAACCUCUCUCACAAGCAAAACAUGAUCAAACCCCAGAACUCAUUGAGUCUUAAUCACAUGAUGAUGUGAACUAGUUUAGCGACACUAGUAAACUCUUUGGAUGUUGGUCACAUGACGAUGUGACGAGUGUUAAUCACAUGGCGAUGUGAACUAGAUUAUUGACUAGUGCAAGUGGGAGACUGUUGGAAAUAUGCCCUAGAGGCAAUAAUAAAUUGGUUAUUAUUAUUAUAUUUCCUUGUUCAUGAUAAUCGUUUAUUAUCCAUGCUAUAAUUGCAUUGAUAGGAAACUCAGAUACAUGUGUGGGUACAUAGACAACACCAUGUCCCUAGUAAGCCUCUAGUUGACUAGCUCGUUGAUCAACAGAUGGUUACGGUUUCCUGACCAUGGACAUUGGAUGUCGUUGAUAACGGGAUCACAUCAUUAGGAGAAUGAUGUGAUGGACAAGACCCAAUCCUAAGCCUAGCAUAAAGAUCGUAGUUCGUAUGCUAAAGCUUUUCUAAUGUCAAAUAUCAUUUCCUUAGACCAUGAGAUUGCGCAACUCCCGGAUACCGUAGGAAUGCUUUGGGUGUACCAAACGUCACAACGUAACUGGGUGACUAUAAAGGUGCACUACAGGUAUCUCCGAAAGUGUCUGUUGGGUUGGCACGAAUCGAGACUGGGAUUUGUCACUCCGUGUAAACGGAGAGGUAUCUCUGGGCCCACUCGGUAGGACAUCAUCAUAAUGUGCACAAUGUGACCAAGGGGUUGAUCACGGGAUGAUGUGUUACGGAACGAGUAAAGAGACUUGCCGGUAACGAGAUUGAACAAGGUAUCGGCAUACCGACGAUCGAAUCUCGGGCAAGUACAAUACCGCUAGACAAAAGGAAUUGUAUACGGGAUCGAUUGAGUCCUUGACAUCGUGGUUCAUCCGAUGAGAUCAUCGUGGAACAUGUGGGAGCCAACAUGGGUAUCCAGAUCCCGCUGUUGGUUAUUGACCGGAGAACGUCUCGGUCAUGUCUGCAUGGUUCCCGAACCUGUAGGGUCUACACACUUAAGGUUCGAUGACGCUAGGGUUAUAAAGGAAGUUUGUAUGUGGUUACCGAAUAUUGUUCGGAGUCCCGGAUGAGAUCCCGGACGCCACGAGGAGUUCCGGAAUGGUCCGAAGGUAAAGAUUUAUAUAUGGGAAGUCCUGUUUUGGUCACUGGAAAAGUUUCGGGUUUUUCCGGUAAGGUACCGGGACCACCGGGAGGGUCCCGGGGGUCCACCAAGUGGGGCCACCAACCCCGGAGGGCUGCAUGGGCCAACUGUGGGAGGGGACCAGCCCCAGGUGGGCUGGUGCGCCCCCCCCCCCAGGGCCCAAGGCGCAGGGAAGUGGGGGAGGGGGCAAACCCUAGGGCAGAUGGGCCCUAAGGCCCACCCUAGGUGCGCCUCCCCCCUCCCCCCUUCUGGCCGCCACCCAGAUGGGAUCUGGGGGCUGCCGCCACCCCUGGGAGGGAACCCUAGAGGGGGCGCAGCCCCCUCCCCUCCCCCUAUAAAUACUUGAGGUGUUGGGGCUGCCCAACACACAAGAACAUCUCCCUAUUGGCGCAGCCCUACCUCUCUUACUCCUCCUCUCCCGCAGUGCUUGGCGAAGCCCUGCAGGAUUGCCACGCUCCUCCAUCACCACCACGCCGUUGUGCUGCUGCUGGACGGAGUCUUCCUCAACCUCUCCCUCUCUCCUUGCUGGAUCAAGGCGUGGGAGACGUCACCGGGCUGUACGUGUGUUGAACGCGGAGGUGCCGUCCGUUCGGCACUAGGAUCUCCGGUGAUUUGGAUCACGACGAGUACGACUCCUUCAACCCCGUUCUCUUGAACGCUUACGCUUAGCGAUCUACAAGGGUAUGUAGAUGCACUCUCCUUCCCCUCAUUGCUGGUUUCUCCAUAGAUAGAUCUUGGUGACACGUAGGAAAAUUUUGAAUUUCUUCUACGUUCCCCAACAAUAUGAAACAUUUAUAAUAGGAGGAUGAGGGUGUCCCCUGUGUAUGGGUGCUUGAUCGGCAUGCUGGAAAGGAAAAUGGAGGAACUGGGAAUAAGUAUGCAAAUUUAGAGGAAUGGGGGUUUGCUUCUGAACUGUGAUCCUCAAGAUAUCAUGUUCAGAUUGUUAAUGCUGAUUGUUUUCGAAAUGUUGUCGUAUAAUAGACUUAAGGGGUUUUCUUGGAAGCAUUCUUGUGUUUAUGCAUCAAACGUUUUACACUGGCAUGCUUGUGUUUAUGCAUCUCUUCUGAUUGAGAUGUAUCGCUACGAACUUCUUGCUCUUAUAUGACAAGGGUAUAACGAUAUAAUCUAACAACUUGAUGUUCCUUUCACCCUCCUCCAUGGCCAUGCUGUAUGUUUUAGUUGGCAUUCAAUCUGUUUUUCUGGAAGAGUUCUUAUCAUUUUGACUUUUUCUUUCCGCGCGAUAAUCAUCUGACCUCGUUCUACAACCAGAUGUCUUUUCACUUGUUUUGAUCUUGUCACUGUUAAUUAUCGCCAUCCUUAUUAUUGGUCUGCUUUGCUUGGAACAGCGAUGCCAUGUGAAGACGGGGAAGGCCUUGGAUCAAAGAAGAGCGAACUGCGGCUGGUGGUGCGGUAGCCAAAACCCCUCGUCUUAGAGAAGCGAUUGCAUUAUCUAUUAGUUGUGUUUUGAGUCGGAGACAAGUUAUUGCUUGGUAAUGGAUUGGUAUGGUGGAUAAAACUGGAUCGGGUGCUCUAUUAUUGUUCCGAAUAGACAUGUAUGUUUGUUUAGAACAAGUUGUGUAUUUUUUUUUUUUACUUUCCAGUGUGUUGUCCAUUGCAAAACCUGUGCUCGACUCCGUUAGCAACGUGCCUGUGGUAUCGAUCUGCUGAUCAUAUUGAGGCAUUAGCAUUUGUUGCCAGGAGUAAGAAUAAGACAUUUAUUUUGAACAGUCAUCUAUAUGUUUGUGUUGCCCGUUGAGUAACAAGAAGAUACUUAUGGAAUUACAGAAGCACAACAUCAAUAUUGAAUGACCGUCAAGAAGAUAGUUAUAGAUUACAUGGUUGUAAUCCUUUGUCGUUCUUUACUAGAUGGUGUCUAUAUAUAAGCCCCCCCUGUUUUUCAAAACAGAAAAAGAUUUUGAUCUGGACACUGAAUUUCUGUUACCUUGUUGCAUAACAGAACGUCUUGCUUUAUUAUCAUAUUGGAUUUGUUAUUUAUCUCGAUCAGCUGAGAAUUAACUAAAUCUCAAUCAAUUCC